Molecule: long non-coding RNA, 1019 nt
Filed under: Anas platyrhynchos platyrhynchos (common mallard)
Lineage: Eukaryota; Metazoa; Chordata; Aves; Anseriformes; Anatidae
Description: lncRNA (ENSAPLG00000024857.1)
Source: RNAcentral
UGAGAAACUGGCUGCUCAUGGUUUGGACUGGCAUACUCUUCGUUGGGUUACAAACUGGCUGGGUAGCUGGGCCUGAAGAGUUGUGGUGAAUGGAGUCAAAUCCAGUCGUAGGUCAGUCACUAGUGGCAUCCCCCAGGGCUCAGUACUAGGGCCAAUCCUCUUUAAUAUCUUUAUCAAUGAUCUGGAUGAGGGGAUCGAGUGCACCUUCAGUAAGUUUGCAGCUGACACCAAGGCGCCAUCUUGACACAAGGUGCGUGCGUCGAUCUGCUCGAGGGUAGGAAGGCUCUGCAGGAGGAUCUGGAUAGGCUGGUCUGAUGGGCUGAGGCCAAAUGUAUGAAGUUCAACAGGGCCAAGUGCCAGGUCCUGCACCUGGGGCGCAACAACCCCAAGCAGAGCUACAGGAUGGGAGAUGAGUGGUUGGAAAGCUGUCUGGCAGAGAAGGACCUGGGAGUAUUGGCUGAUAGUCAGCUGAAUACAUGUAUGAGCCAGCAGUGUGCUCAGGUUGCCAAGAAGGCCAACAGCAUCCCUGCAUGUAUAAAAAGCACUGUGCCCAACAGAUCUAGGGAAGUGAUUGUCCCCCUGUACUCAGCUCUGGUGAGGCCACACCUCAAGUACUGUGUUCAGUUUUGGGCCCCUCACUACAAGAAGGACAUGGAGGUGCUUGAGAGAGUCCAGAGAAGGGCAAUGAAGCUGGUGAGGGGUCUGGAGAACAAGUCCUACGAGGAGCAGCUGAGGGAGCUGGGCUUGUUCGGCCUGGAGAAGAGGAGGCUCAGGGAUGGCUUUAUUGCUCUCAGUAGGUACGUUAAAGGAGGCUGUAGCAAGGUGGGGAUUGGUCUAUUCUCCCACGUGCCUGGUGACAGGAUGAGGGGGAAUGGGCUGAAGUUGUGCCAGGGGAGUUUUAGGUUGGAUAUUAGGAAGAACUUCUUCACUGAAAGGGUUGUUAGGUAUUGGAAUGGGCUGCCCAGGGAAGUGGUUGAGUCACCAUCCCUGGAGGUCUUCAAAAGAUAUUUAGAUGUAGA